AACCCGAUCCCAUCUCGAACUCGGCCGUUAAACGCACCAGCGCCCAUGGUACUGUGUCUCAAGACACGGGAGAGUCGGUCGCCGCCAGAC
RNAcentral lists this ribosomal RNA (90 nucleotides) under Methylobacterium gossipiicola. Lineage: Bacteria; Pseudomonadati; Pseudomonadota; Alphaproteobacteria; Hyphomicrobiales; Methylobacteriaceae. The record is from RNAcentral.